RNAcentral lists this ribosomal RNA (456 nucleotides) under uncultured Isosphaeraceae bacterium. Its description in RNAcentral is "bacterial SSU rRNA". It matches the Rfam family "Bacterial small subunit ribosomal RNA", at positions 337 to 796 of the family's 1533-position model. The record is from RNAcentral. Lineage: Bacteria; Pseudomonadati; Planctomycetota; Planctomycetia; Isosphaerales; Isosphaeraceae.
UCCUACGGGGGGCUGCAGUCGAGAAUCUUCGGCAAUGGGCGCAAGCCUGACCGAGCGACGUCGCGUGGAGGACGAAGGCCUUCGGGUUGUAAACUCCUGUCGAGGGGGAGAAAGGUCCCGCGAGGGGCUUGAUCGAUCCCUGGAGGAAGCACGGGCUAAGUUCGUGCCAGCAGCCGCGGUAAGACGAACCGUGCGAACGUUAUUCGGAAUCACUGGGCUUAAAGCGCGUGUAGGCGGAUUGGUGCGUCGGCGCCUGAAAUCCCCCGGCUCAACCGGGGAACGCGGCCCGAAACGACCAGUCUGGAGGGACGUAGGGGGGACUGGAACUUCCGGUGGAGCGGUGAAAUGCGUUGAGAUCGGAAGGAACGCCCGUGGCGAAAGCGAGUCCCUGGACGUCUACUGACGCUGAGACGCGAAAGCUAGGGGAGCGAACGGGAUUAGAUACCCGAGUAGUCU